UCUGGGUGUGGUGGUACGUGCCUGUAGUCCCAGCUACCCGGGAGGCUGAGGUGGGAGGAUCACUUGAGCCCAGGAAUACUGGACUGUAGUGCGCUAUGCCGAUCGGGUGUCCGCACUAAGUUAGGCAACAAUAUGGUGACCUCCUGGGAGCGGGGGACCAUCAGGUUGCCUAAGGAGGAUUGAACUGGCCCAGGUCAGAAACAGAGAAGGUCAAAACUUCCAUGCUGAUCAGUAGUGGGAUCGCGCCUGUGAAUAGCCACUGUGCUCCAGCCUGGGCAACAUAGCGAGACCCCGUCUCU
This 299-nucleotide signal recognition particle RNA is filed under the name Aotus nancymaae (Ma's night monkey). RNAcentral describes it as "Metazoan signal recognition particle RNA (ENSANAG00000010282.1)". It matches the Rfam family "Metazoan signal recognition particle RNA". Rfam says of the family: The signal recognition particle (SRP) is a universally conserved ribonucleoprotein. Lineage: Eukaryota; Metazoa; Chordata; Mammalia; Primates; Aotidae. The record is from RNAcentral.